RNAcentral lists this ribosomal RNA (468 nucleotides) under uncultured bacterium. RNAcentral describes it as "partial 16S ribosomal RNA". It matches the Rfam family "Bacterial small subunit ribosomal RNA", at positions 28 to 507 of the family's 1533-position model. The record is from RNAcentral.
GACGAACGCUGGCGGCGUGCUUAACACAUGCAAGUCGAACGGAAAGGCCCUUCUGUGGUGGGGUGCUCGAGUGGCGAACGGGUGAGUAACACGUGAGUAACCUGCCCUUGACUUUGGGAAAACUUCAGGAAACUGGGGCUAAUACCGGACAGGAGCUCCUGCUGCAGGGUGGGGGUGGGAAAGUUUCGGGGGUUGGGGAGGGACUCGCGUGUUAUCAGCUUGUGGGUGGGGUAGGGGCUUACCAAGCCUUUGGGGGGUAGCCGGCCUGAGAGGGUGGCCGGCAACAUUGGGACAGUGAUAGGCCCCAGACUCCUCCGGGGGGCGGAGGUGGGGAAAAUUGCACAAUGGGGGGAAGCCGGAUGAACCAACGCCGCGGGGGGGAUGACGGCGUUCGGGUGGAAACCCGCUUUCGCCAGUGAGGAAGCGUGAGUGACGGUAAUGGGUAAAGAAGCACCGGCUAACUACGUG